UACGUAGGUGGCAAGCGUUGUCCGGAUUUAUUGGGUUUAAAGGGUGCGUAGGCGGUCCAUUAAGUCAGUUGUGAAAUACGGCAGCUUAACUGUCGAGGUGCAAUUGAUACUGGAGGACUUGAGUACAGACGAGGUAGGCGGAAUUGACGGUGUAGCGGUGAAAUGCAUAGAUAUCGUCAAGAACACCGAUAGCGAAGGCAGCUUACUAGACUGUAACUGACGCUGAGGCACGAAAGUGUGGGGAUCAAACAGG
Molecule: ribosomal RNA, 253 nt
Filed under: uncultured bacterium
Lineage: Bacteria
Description: partial 16S ribosomal RNA
Rfam family: Bacterial small subunit ribosomal RNA
Source: RNAcentral